Long non-coding RNA from Juglans regia (Persian walnut), 1630 nucleotides. RefSeq lists it as uncharacterized. Lineage: Eukaryota; Viridiplantae; Streptophyta; Magnoliopsida; Fagales; Juglandaceae. The record is from RefSeq and is a predicted model, not a curated record. The transcript has 3 exons.
CUUUUGUGCUACUCAUUUUUUAGUGAGUCAAUUCCAUCACGUAUAAAUUAUAAUAGUUGCAAAAUAUGGUUAUAAGGUUUAUUUGAGGGAGAAGAAUAAGUUGAAAAAUGCUCUUAAGGGUAGCAAAUUUGCCUUACCACGGAUACAUAGGCAUCCGUACAGAAUUUUAAUUACAUGUGUCUCACUACACACUUUAUUGAUGAAGAUUAAAAAAUGUAUAAAAGAAUUAUCAACUUUUGUAGGGUGGAAAACCAUAAGGGUGAGACACUUGGUAAGAAAAUUGAAAUGUGUUUACUUGAAUGGGGGAGAUCAAGAAUCUUUACAAUUACACUUGAUAAUACAAGUUCAAAUAAUAAGACAAUUUCAUAUAUAAAAAGAAAGACGUAAUAGAAAUGAUACAAUUUUAGAACAUGAGUUCUUGCAUAUGAGAUGUUGUGCUCAUAUCUUAAACUUGAUUGUUCGGGACAGGUUGAAAGAAUUAGAUCAAUCAAUUGCAAGAACUAGAUGGGUUGUGAAGUAUGUGAAAUAUUCUUACAAAUGUGGAGUAUGUUUAAGCAAUGUUGUGAAAAUGAGGAAAAUACGUAUAAAAAUCACUUAUGCUUAGACGUAGAAUUCGGUGGAACUCCACUUAUAUGAUGUUAGUUGUGGUUGAAAAACUCCAAAAUGCAUUUCAACAGCUAGAGGAGGAAGAUUUAGGUUAUGUUAAGAGUGUUGGAGAGGAGGCCAGAUAGUGAUGAUGAUGACAGUAUGAGUAAAGGAGUGGCAUCCAUGUUAGGGCCUCCAAACAAGGACAAUUGGGAUAAUAGUAGGUUGUUUGUAAAGUUUUAAAUUUUUUUAUGAUGCAACCUUGCGUUUCUCAAGCUCCACUUUUGUCACUUGCAAUUCUUUUUUCAUGGAACUAACGACAAUUUAAGAUGCAAUUAAUAUGGAGUGUGUGGAAGGGCCCCAUAAAUUGAUGUCAAUGGCAUGUAAUAUAAGGUCUAAAUUAAAGUAUUAGGGUAAUUUUGAAAAAAUAAAUCUAUUGUUGUAUGUUGGGUUGGUUCUUGAUUCUUGAUAUAAAUUGCGAUAUCUUGAAUUUUGUUUUGAAUGUAUGUAUGUUAAUGGUAAUUUGAGUGUUUUUAUAUUGGUGAACCGAGUUAAAGAUGUAUUGACUCAUUUAUACAAUAGUUAUUGUGAAAUGAAGGAGUUGAUGUUGGGUACAAGAUCAAACCAUAAACCAAUCAAGUAAGGGAGGGACUAGUACUACAAAUGCAACUACUCAGGUGAAAGAUAUGAGAACUCCCGGAAGAAGUUGGAAAUUCUUUAAAACCUAUUUCAGUUGUUGGAGAUGAUUAAGGUUUAUUUGAAUGGACUCUUGGAGUUGGCGCAUAUGGGCUAGUUGUAUUGUUGAAUUGUGUAAUUUAGACUCUUGGUACUGUAUUUUUAUUUUUAUUUUCUAAUCUAGACACUUGAGGAGAUUGUUAGUUGUUACUACUGUAUUUUUAGUUUUAUUUUGUAAUCUUGUCACUUGAGGAGACUGUUAAUGCUGUAUUUUUAGUUUUAUUUUGUACUAUGAACACUGGAGUCCAGAUUUUUUAUGGACACUUCAGGACACUACACUAGAUAUUUUAUGAUAUGAGCUCUGUGAUAG